GACCGUGUGGCCUAAUGGAUAAGGCGUCGGACUUCUACAAAGCAGUUGACAUCCGAAAAUUGCGGGUUCGAAUCCUGCCUCGGUUA
This 86-nucleotide transfer RNA is filed under the name Daphnia pulex (common water flea). It matches the Rfam family "tRNA". From Rfam's summary of the family: Transfer RNA (tRNA) molecules are approximately 80 nucleotides in length. Lineage: Eukaryota; Metazoa; Arthropoda; Branchiopoda; Diplostraca; Daphniidae. The record is from Rfam by way of RNAcentral.